UACGUAGGGGGCAAGCGUUGUCCGGAUUUAUUGGGCGUAAAGAGCGUGUAGGCGGCCAGACAGGUCCGUUGUGAAAACUCGAGGCUCAACCUCGAGACGCCGAUGGAAACCGUCUGGCUAGAGUCCGGAAGAGGAGAGUGGAAUUCCUGGUGUAGCGGUGAAAUGCGCAGAUAUCAGGAAGAACACCCGUGGCGAAGGCGGCUCUCUAGUACGGUACUGACGCUGAGACGCGAAAGCGUGGGGAGCGAACAGG
Molecule: ribosomal RNA, 253 nt
Filed under: uncultured bacterium
Lineage: Bacteria
Description: partial 16S ribosomal RNA
Rfam family: Bacterial small subunit ribosomal RNA
Source: RNAcentral